This is a long non-coding RNA of Engraulis encrasicolus (European anchovy), 900 nucleotides long. RefSeq lists it as uncharacterized. The transcript has 3 exons. NCBI's taxonomy places the organism in Eukaryota, Metazoa, Chordata, Actinopteri, Clupeiformes, Engraulidae. The record is from RefSeq and is a predicted model, not a curated record.
CGUUUGGCAUUGCUGGUGAUGUCUCACCAUUUGGCGUUUGGUUAGCGCUUUGAAGUCUUGUCUGUGUAGCACUUCAUACAAUAGUGGAAAUUGUGUGGAGUUUUGUUCUAGUCCUUGAAGAGUCACUUCUCUGGGAGCGUAACCAACUUAAAGCUUGACCGGUGCCCAUUUCGUCUGCUCACUUGGGAAGCAGUCUGCUGUGGUUUGGAGCCCCUUUCCCCUGCUGCGACACUAUAUGUGUGCCUCGCCAGCCGUGGUGUAGCCGGCUGGCAUUGCGUGAGGUUGUCUUAAUGAGCUGCUGUUUUGUAUACCCCUGAUGUGUGUCGGAUGCAUGCGAGAGUGUUUAGAUAGUGUGUGUAUGGCUGGUGACUGAGGUGAAGCUUGAUUUUAGUGCUUGACUUGAAGUAAGAGGGUUCUGUGAAGUGGGUGAAUGUGUGUGUGCGUGCGCAUGUGUAUUUUGUUUUAUUUCUAUUUUGCCUCCUGUAUUUUUGUUUACUGACAAGAAAGUGAGAGUUCUUGGACUGUCCAUUUUGUUUCUUUAACUAUAGUUAUGUUUGGUUUAGUUUCUUGUGUCCACUGGUGCCCUAAUUAAGUCCACCUGUAGCCCUUCCACCCAAUCACCCUUUAGCUCCUCAGUUGCAGUGAUUUAGAAUGGAUAGUUGGGUGCCCUUUGUAAUACCUUGUGUGCAGUGUAGAGGUGUUUGGUAUUAAUCUAGUUUUAAGUGUGCUGUGCUUAGUAUCUGUGUGUAAUUGGAGCUACAGGAUUUGGGAAAAGGGUCUUGGUCACUGUUGCGCACCAGUGUAGAUGUCCAGCUUUUAUGUCCAAUGUGUUCAUUGUAUAUACAGUUUUAACUGAUGUAUAUUGUAACCGUUUGCAUUAUUAAAAGAGAAUUGACUGUG